RNAcentral lists this ribosomal RNA (253 nucleotides) under uncultured bacterium. RNAcentral describes it as "partial 16S ribosomal RNA". It matches the Rfam family "Bacterial small subunit ribosomal RNA", at positions 524 to 776 of the family's 1533-position model. The record is from RNAcentral.
UACGUAGGUGGCGAGCGUUGUCCGGAUUUACUGGGCGUAAAGAGCUCGUAGGUGGUUUGUCGCGUUGUUCGUGAAAACUCACAGCUCAACUGUGGGCGUGCGGGCGAUACGGGCAGACUAGAGUACUGCAGGGGAGACUGGAAUUCCUGGUGUAGCGGUGGAAUGCGCAGAUAUCAGGAGGAACACCGGUGGCGAAGGCGGGUCUCUGGGCAGUAACUGACGCUGAGGAGCGAAAGCGUGGGGAGCAAACAGG